AGAUAGCCAAAACUGUCUUCCUUAUCAAAGGAUUGUAGGAUGAGGAUUGUACGUGAUUAUUGCAGCGCUCCAAAACAUGCCAAAUCCCAAGAUGUACACCCAAUACAGUAUCUCAACAUUGAGCUAACUAUGUAGGUAUGUAUGUAUACGCUAGUAUAUGGUAUAUGUACAUACUUACAUACCUGUAUUAUUUUAGUGAACAUAUUGUUCAUGACAACACGCAGAUGUCCCAGGGAGCCCGGUUCUGGAAUCUCACCCCAUCUCAUCUCAUCUAAACAUCUAAACACAUCCUUAAAAUGUCAUUAUCCUUAUUGUCCUUGAAUUCAAAGGAUUGCAUCCAAUCCGGGACAUUGUCCCGAUCACGAGAAGGCGUGGCAUGUCCUGAUCCGACAGGAUACGGCCGAAUUAUAGGGAUCUAACGACUACAUAUGAAAAAAUCCUUGAAAUGGCAUUAUCCUUAAUGUCCUUGCAUCCCAAAGGAUUGCAUCCAAUCCGGGACAUUGUCCCGAUCACGAGAAGGCGUGGCAUGUCCUAAUCCUACAGGAUACAGCCGAGUUAUAGGGUUUAAGCGACUACAUUUAAAAACAUCCUUAAAAUUUCAUUAUCCUAAAUGUCCUUGCAUCCAAAGGGAUUGAAAACGAUCCAGUACAGUCUCCCGAUCACGAGGAGGCUUGCCAUGUCCUGAUAGGCCUUCAAAUAAAGGACAAAACAACAAAACAA
Molecule: long non-coding RNA, 720 nt
Filed under: Drosophila guanche
Lineage: Eukaryota; Metazoa; Arthropoda; Insecta; Diptera; Drosophilidae
Source: RNAcentral